Molecule: ribosomal RNA, 492 nt
Filed under: uncultured bacterium
Lineage: Bacteria
Description: bacterial SSU rRNA
Rfam family: Bacterial small subunit ribosomal RNA
Source: RNAcentral
GAUGAACGCUAGCUACAGGCUUAACACAUGCAAGUCGAGGGGAAACGAUAUUGGAAGCUUGCUUCCGAUAGGCGUCGACCGGCGCACGGGUGAGUAACGCGUAUCCAACCUGCCCACCACUUGGGGAUAACCUUGCGAAAGUAAGACUAAUACCCGAUGAUAUCCCUAGAAGACAUCUGAAAGGGAUUAAAGAUUUAUCGGUGAUGGAUGGGGAUGCGUCUGAUUAGCUUGUUGGCGGGGUAACGGCCCACCAAGGCAACGAUCAGUAGGGGUUCUGAGAGGAAGGUCCCCCACAUUGGAACUGAGACACGGUCCAAACUCCUACGGGAGGCAGCAGUGAGGAAUAUUGGUCAAUGGACGAGAGUCUGAACCAGCCAAGUAGCGUGCAGGAUGACGGCCCUAUGGGUUGUAAACUGCUUUUAUAAGGGAAUAAAGUGGGUCACGUGUGACUUUUUGCAUGUACCUUAUGAAUAAGGACCGGCUAAUUCCGUG